UGGGCCCGUAGCUUAGUCUGGUUGGAGCGCUCGGCUGAUAACCGAGAGGUCCGGAGUUCAAAUCUCCGCGGGCCCAUC
RNAcentral lists this transfer RNA (78 nucleotides) under Candidatus Methanolliviera sp. GoM_asphalt. RNAcentral's name for it is "tRNA-Ile". It matches the Rfam family "tRNA". Rfam says of the family: Transfer RNA (tRNA) molecules are approximately 80 nucleotides in length. Their secondary structure includes four short double-helical elements and three loops (D, anti-codon, and T loops). Lineage: Archaea; Methanobacteriati; Methanobacteriota; Candidatus Methanoliparia; Candidatus Methanoliparales; Candidatus Methanollivieraceae. The record is from RNAcentral.